GACGAACGCUGGCGGCGUGCUUAACACAUGCAAGUCGAACGGAAGGGCCCUGCUUUUGUGGGGUGCUCGAGUGGCGAACGGGUGAGUAACACGUGAGUAACCUGCCCUUGACUUUGGGAUAACUUCAGGAAACUGGGGCUAAUACCGGAUAGGAGCUCCUGCUGCAUGGUGGGGGUUGGAAAGUUUCGGCGGUUGGGGAUGGACUCGCGGCUUAUCAGCUUGUUGGUGGGGUAGUGGCUUACCAAGGCUUUGACGGGUAGCCGGCCUGAGAGGGUGACCGGCCACAUUGGGACUGGGAUAGGGCCCAGACUCCUACGGGAGGCAGAGGGGGGGAAUAUUGAACAAUGGGCGGAAGCCUAAUGCAGCAACGCCGCGUGCGGGAUAACGGCCUUCGGGUUGUAAACCGCUUUCGCCUGUGACAAAGCGUGAGUGACGGUAAUGGGUAAAGAAGCACCGGCUAACUACGUG
Molecule: ribosomal RNA, 468 nt
Filed under: uncultured bacterium
Lineage: Bacteria
Description: partial 16S ribosomal RNA
Rfam family: Bacterial small subunit ribosomal RNA
Source: RNAcentral